UGAUCUGACGAGCUUGCUCUGAUUUGAUUUUAUCUGACAAAGAGUGGCGAACGGGUGAGUAACACGUGGGUAACCUACCUCUUAGCAGGGGAUAACAUUUGGAAACAAGUGCUAAUACCGUAUAAUACCAACAACCGCAUGGUUGUUGGUUGAAAGAUGGUUCUGCUAUCACUAAGAGAUGGACCCGCGGUGCAUUAGCUAGUUGGUAAGGUAACGGCUUACCAAGGCAAUGAUGCAUAGCCGAGUUGAGAGACUGAUCGGCCACAAUGGGACUGAGACACGGCCCAUACUCCUACGGGAGGCAGCAGUAGGGAAUCUUCCACAAUGGGCGCAAGCCUGAUGGAGCAACGCCGCGUGUGUGAUGAAGGGUUUCGGCUCGUAAAACACUGUUAUAAGAGAAGAACGGCACUGAGAGUAACUGUUCAGUGUGUGACGGUAUCUUACCAGAAAGGAACGGCUAAAUACGUGCCAGCAGCCGCGGUAAUACGUAUGUUCCAAGCGUUAUCCGGAUUUAUUGGGCGUAAAGCGAGCGCAGACGGUUAUUUAAGUCUGAAGUGAAAGCCCUCAGCUCAACUGAGGAAUGGCUUUGGAAACUGGAUGACUUGAGUGCAGUAGAGGAAAGUGGAACUCCAUGUGUAGCGGUGAAAUGCGUAGAUAUAUGGAAGAACACCAGUGGCGAAGGCGGCUUUCUGGACUGUAACUGACGUUGAGGCU
RNAcentral lists this ribosomal RNA (714 nucleotides) under Weissella paramesenteroides. RNAcentral's name for it is "bacterial SSU rRNA". It matches the Rfam family "Bacterial small subunit ribosomal RNA", at positions 56 to 753 of the family's 1533-position model. Lineage: Bacteria; Bacillati; Bacillota; Bacilli; Lactobacillales; Lactobacillaceae. The record is from RNAcentral.